AUUGAACGCUGGCGGCAGGCCUAACACAUGCAAGUCGAGCGGAUGACGGGAGCUUGCUCCUUGAUUCAGCGGCGGACGGGUGAGUAAUGCCUAGGAAUCUGCCUGGUAGUGGGGGACAACGUUUCGAAAGGAACGCUAAUACCGCAUACGUCCUACGGGAGAAAGCAGGGGACCUUCGGGCCUUGCGCUAUCAGAUGAGCCUAGGUCGGAUUAGCUUGUUGGUGAGGUAAUGGCUCACCAAGGCGACGAUCCGUAACUGGUCUGAGAGGAUGAUCAGUCACACUGGAACUGAGACACGGUCCAGACUCCUACGGGAGGCAGCAGUGGGGAAUAUUGGACAAUGGGCGAAAGCCUGAUCCAGCCAUGCCGCGUGUGUGAAGAAGGUCUUCGGAUUGUAAAGCACUUUAAGAUGGGAGGAAGGGUUGUAGAUUAAUACUCUGCAAUUUUGACGUUACCGACAGAAUAAGCACCGGCUAACUCUGUGCCAGCCGCCGCGGUAA
This 500-nucleotide ribosomal RNA is filed under the name uncultured bacterium. RNAcentral describes it as "partial 16S ribosomal RNA". It matches the Rfam family "Bacterial small subunit ribosomal RNA", at positions 30 to 523 of the family's 1533-position model. The record is from RNAcentral.